UUGCCAUGGGAACCAGAACUGAAUUUGAAGGCCAAAGCAGGUGUGGCCUCUGAUUUUGGGAAUGAAACUUCAUUCUUUUAGGCUCCUGAUCUUACCAAUUUAACUUUCUCCUUUCUCCCGCAUCCCUUCCCUUCCCUUCAGGCCUUCCUCCUACAGACAGUAGAUGGAAAGCACCAAGACCUCAAGUACAUCUCACCAGAAACGAUGGUGGCCCUGUUGAUGGGCAAGUUCAGCAACAUCGUGGAUAAGUUUGUGAUUGUAGACUGCAGAUACCCCUAUGAGUAUGAAGGCGGGCACAUCAAGACUGCGGUGAACUUGCCCCUGGAACGCGAC
RNAcentral lists this small RNA (333 nucleotides) under Pongo abelii (Sumatran orangutan). RNAcentral's name for it is "processed transcript". The record is from RNAcentral. Lineage: Eukaryota; Metazoa; Chordata; Mammalia; Primates; Hominidae.